Molecule: long non-coding RNA, 801 nt
Organism: Mirounga angustirostris (Northern elephant seal)
Lineage: Eukaryota; Metazoa; Chordata; Mammalia; Carnivora; Phocidae
Exons: 5
Source: RefSeq, a predicted model, not a curated record
CAGACCAGGUCUUUGAAAUCCAAUGUGUACUUCCCACAGCACAUCUCGGUUCAGACCAGCCACAUUUUAAGUAUUCAACAGUCACAUGUGACCAGAGGCUACUGCUUGGGUGGAGCAAGGCUGGAAGGCAACAGAGGAUAUACUGCAAGCUGAGAGACACCAGCUAUAAGCCAUCUGAUUGAAUGAUAAGAAGCUAGAAAGGGGAGAGGUGUGAUUGUCUUCCUGGAUCUGCCACAUGUGUUGUGGGAAUGAGCUCCUGGGCUUAGCCAAGUGCAACUCUUGGCUCAUGCCCCUGCUCUCUCAGAGGCAAGGCAGAAGCAGCUGAUGAAGUGGUCACAGUCCCCUAAGAGGAGGCCAGUGGGUGGAAUUCCCAACAACUCCAGCUCUGAGGUUUGGAAGACAAACGACUUGGGUUUCGGUCGAAUGGGAGUGUCAAGUUAUUCCAGCCUGAUGAGAUUACAGCUCAGAGGAUCACGAGGAAUUGAUUCUUCCAGAAGAGGAAAACCAGCUGGCACAGGAGCUCCGCAGGGCCUUCUGCUAAAGAAAUUGUCUGUCAACUCCUAUUCUGGGGAAUUAAAGAGAACAAGAGGCUGGUUCUCUGCAUAUUUUCACAACCUAGAGAGGACAAGGGAAAGGAUCACGAAUGCAAACAUAAUUCAGUGUGGUUCCAUCUAAUACAGCUAGAAUGAUUGCAACUGACUGGUUUGUUGAGACUGGAAUCUGAACUCCAUCUAAGAGUUAACACUAGGCAAUUCCAAACUUACCAGGACCCCAAGCAUAUCAAGACACCAGAUGACUUGG